AGGGGCAGCAUGAUCGAAGCUUGCUUUGAUUGAGUGGCGGACCGGCGCACGGGGUGAGUAACGCGUAUCCAACCUUCCUAAUAGUAGAGAAUAGCCCGGCGAAAGUCGGAUUAAUGCUCUAUGUUGUAUUUAGAAGACAUCUGAAGAAUACCAAAGGUUUUACCGCUAUAGGAUGGGGAUGCGUCUGAUUAGGUAGUAGGCGGGGUAACGGCCCACCUAGCCGACGAUCAGUAGGGGUUCUGAGAGGAAGGUCCCCCACAUUGGAACUGAGACACGGUCCAAACUCCUACGGGAGGCAGCAGUGAGGAAUAUUGGUCAAUGGACGGAAGUCUGAACCAGCCAAGUAAGCGUGCAGGAUGACGGCCCUAUGGGUUGUAAACUGCUUUUAUAUAGGGAUAAAGUCGGGGACGUGUCCCCGUUUGUAGGUACUAUAUGAAUAAGGACCGGCUAAUUCCGUGCCAGCCGCUGC
Molecule: ribosomal RNA, 469 nt
Filed under: uncultured bacterium
Lineage: Bacteria
Description: bacterial SSU rRNA
Rfam family: Bacterial small subunit ribosomal RNA
Source: RNAcentral